GAUGAAGAACGCAGCGAAAUGCGAUACUUGGUGUGAAUUGCAGAAUCCCGUGAACCAUCGAGUCUUUGAACGCAAGUUGCGCCCGAAGCCAUUAGGCCGAGGGCACGCCUGCCUGGGCGUCACACGUCGUUGCCCCCCCAUCUACUCCUUUGGGAUUGCGGGGGGCGGAUGAUGGCCUCUCGUGCGCCUCGUCGCGCGGUUGGCCUAAAUGCCAAGUCCUCGGCGACGCACGCCACGACAAUCGGUGGUUGCGAAACCUCGGUUGCCUGUCGUGUGCGGUCGUCGCGCAUCGAGGGCUCGAAAAAAUUGCCGGGCUUCGGCUCGUCUUUCAACGCGACCCCAGGUCAGGCGGGGUUACCCGCUGAAUUUAAGCAUAUCAAUAAGCGGAGGA
Molecule: unclassified non-coding RNA, 391 nt
Filed under: soil metagenome
Description: partial contains 5.8S ribosomal RNA, internal transcribed spacer 2, and large subunit ribosomal RNA
Rfam family: 5.8S ribosomal RNA (bases 1-122)
Source: RNAcentral